Molecule: ribosomal RNA, 245 nt
Filed under: uncultured Planctomyces sp.
Lineage: Bacteria; Pseudomonadati; Planctomycetota; Planctomycetia; Planctomycetales; Planctomycetaceae
Description: partial 16S ribosomal RNA
Rfam family: Bacterial small subunit ribosomal RNA
Source: RNAcentral
UACGAACUGUGCAAACGUUAUUCGGAAUCACUGGGCUUAAAGGGUGCGUAGGCGGUCGUUUAAGUAGGGUGUGAAAGCCCUCGGCUCAACCGAGGAAUUGCGCCCUAAACUGGAUGGCUGGAGUGAGAUAGGGGUGUGCGGAACUUCCGGUGGAGCGGUGAAAUGUGUUGAUAUCGGAAGGAACGCCGGUGGCGAAAGCGGCACACUGGGUCUCAACUGACGCUGAGGCACGAAAGCCAGGGGAG